ACUCCUACGGGAGGCAGCAGUGGGGAAUUUUGGACAAUGGGGGAAACCCUGAUCCAGGCAUCCCGCGUGUGCGAUGAAGGCCUUCGGGUUGUAAAGCACUUUUGGCAGGAAAGAAACGUCGCGGGCUAAUACCCCGCGGAACUGAUCGUAUCUGCAGAAUAAGCACCGGCUAACUACGUGCCAGCAGCCGCGGUAAU
Molecule: ribosomal RNA, 197 nt
Filed under: uncultured Alcaligenes sp.
Lineage: Bacteria; Pseudomonadati; Pseudomonadota; Betaproteobacteria; Burkholderiales; Alcaligenaceae
Description: partial 16S ribosomal RNA
Rfam family: Bacterial small subunit ribosomal RNA
Source: RNAcentral